Long non-coding RNA from Homarus americanus (American lobster), 415 nucleotides. RefSeq lists it as uncharacterized. Lineage: Eukaryota; Metazoa; Arthropoda; Malacostraca; Decapoda; Nephropidae. The transcript has 6 exons. The record is from RefSeq and is a predicted model, not a curated record.
CUUUCUAAAAUACCAUACUUAUUCUUUGCAGGAUUGUGGCUGGACAAGGUAUCGGAUUGGAGUUCGGGAUGAAGGCAGGAUGGAGAGCUCCAUGCAUUAAAUAAUGGCCCCUGUAGUAAUAAGAUGGAGAACUCGGCAUUAAAUGAGGGCAGGGUGGAGAGCACUAUACAUUAAGAAGAUGAAGGCAGGAUGGAGAGCUCCAUGCAUUAAAUAAUGGCCCCUGUAGUAAUAAGAUGGAGAACUCGGCAUUAAAUGAGGGCAGGGUGGAGAGCACUAUACAUUAAGAAGAUGAAGGCAGGAUGGAGAGCUCCAUGCAUUAAAUAAUGGCCCCUGUAGUAAUAAGUAAGCAUACAUUAGUUUUUAUGGUCCAUUUUCGUUUUAUUGCUAAUUCGUCAGUUUUGAGUGAAGGCAAUUU